CACUAGCAGACACACACACUCACUGACACACACACUCACAGGCAAACGUACACACACAGUCAGACACAAACACAGUCAGACACACACACACACACACAAACACACUCACUCACUAGCAGACACACUCACUCACUAGCAGACACACACUAGCAGACACACUCACUGACACACACACUCACAGGCAAACACACUCACACUAACAGUCAGACACACACACUCACUAACAGACACACACACACUCACUAACAGACAGACACACUCACUAACAUACACACUCACUGACAGAAACACUCACUAACAGACACACUCACUAACAGACACUCACUGACGCACUCACUAACAGACACACUCACUAACAGUCACACUUACUAACAGACACACACACUCACUCACUCACUCACUAACAGACACACUCACUAACAGUCACACUUACUAACAGACACACACACUCACUCAC
This is a non-coding RNA of Pelobates cultripes (western spadefoot toad), 457 nucleotides long. The record is from the annotation of a GenBank genome assembly. Lineage: Eukaryota; Metazoa; Chordata; Amphibia; Anura; Pelobatidae.